UGGUAAAAAGAGGAGUCAAACCCCUGUGAAUGAAACUACAAACCAUUGCCUGAUCGCUCGGCCAUUUUACC
This 71-nucleotide transfer RNA is filed under the name Uranoscodon superciliosus. RNAcentral's name for it is "tRNA-Tyr". The record is from RNAcentral. Lineage: Eukaryota; Metazoa; Chordata; Lepidosauria; Squamata; Tropiduridae.